This is a non-coding RNA of Triticum aestivum (bread wheat), 135 nucleotides long. Lineage: Eukaryota; Viridiplantae; Streptophyta; Magnoliopsida; Poales; Poaceae. The record is from Rfam.
UUAAUACUCCCUCCGUCCCAAAAUUCUUGUCUUAGAUUAGUCUAGAUACGGAUGUAUCUAAUACUAAAACGUGACUUGAUACAUCCGUAUUUAGACAAAUUUAAGACAAGAAUUUGGGGACGGAGGGAGUCUAUA